UUAAUUGAAGCCAAAAAGAGGCAUAUUACUGUUAAUAAUAUUAUUGGAUAAAAUCCCAAUUAAA
This 64-nucleotide transfer RNA is filed under the name Euoniticellus intermedius. RNAcentral's name for it is "tRNA-Asn". Lineage: Eukaryota; Metazoa; Arthropoda; Insecta; Coleoptera; Scarabaeidae. The record is from RNAcentral.